CCUACGGGAUGCAGCAGUGGGGAAUCUUGGGCAAUGGGCGAAAGCCUGACCCAGCAACGCCGCGUGAAGGAAGAAGGCUUUCGGGUUGUAAACUUCUUUUGACAGGGAAGAGCAUAAGACGGUACCUGUCGCAUAAGCCACGGCUCCCUACGUGCCAGCAGCCGCGGUAAUACGUAGGUGGCAAGCGUUGUCCGGAUUUACUGGGUUUAAAGGGUGCGUAGGCGGCGCUUCAGGUCAGCGGUGAAAUACCGGGGCUCAACCCCGGGGCUGCCGUUGAAACCGGAGCGCUAGAAUUCCGAUGCCGUCGGAGGAAUGUGUGGUGUGGCGGUGAAAUGCAUAGAUAUCACACAGAACACCGAUUGCGAAGGCAUCUGACGAAGCGGAGAUUGACGCUGAUGCACGAAAGCGUGGGUAUCGAACAGGAUUAGAUACCCCAGGAGUC
RNAcentral lists this ribosomal RNA (442 nucleotides) under uncultured bacterium. Its description in RNAcentral is "partial 16S ribosomal RNA". It matches the Rfam family "Bacterial small subunit ribosomal RNA", at positions 338 to 795 of the family's 1533-position model. The record is from RNAcentral.